UACGAAGGGGGCUAGCGUUGUUCGGAAUUACUGGGCGUAAAGCGCACGUAGGCGGACUUGUAAGUCAGGGGUGAAAUCCCGGGGCUCAACCCCGGAACUGCCUUUGAUACUGCAAGUCUAGAGGUCGAGAGAGGUGAGUGGAAUUCCGAGUGUAGAGGUGAAAUUCGUAGAUAUUCGGAGGAACACCAGUGGCGAAGGCGGCUCACUGGCUCGAUACUGACGCUGAGGUGCGAAAGCGUGGGGGGCAAACAGG
Molecule: ribosomal RNA, 253 nt
Filed under: uncultured bacterium
Lineage: Bacteria
Description: partial 16S ribosomal RNA
Rfam family: Bacterial small subunit ribosomal RNA
Source: RNAcentral